This is a long non-coding RNA of Mesocricetus auratus (golden hamster), 1335 nucleotides long. RefSeq lists it as uncharacterized. Lineage: Eukaryota; Metazoa; Chordata; Mammalia; Rodentia; Cricetidae. The record is from RefSeq and is a predicted model, not a curated record. The transcript is spliced from 3 exons.
GUUGCCUGCUUCAUAUCAACAAGCACCUCUCCCCUGAGCCACUCACAGCCCUGUCCUGUCUGCAUCCAAUGCCAAGGUCUGGGGAUCCUCACUGGGACACUCAGCCUUGGGUUGGCCCAAUCAUGACUUAGACCCAAUCUGGAGCCCCUGGCUUCUCUUCUCCAGACCUUGAAGUAAAGACGGGGUGUGCUCCUUGUCACCAGUGCUGGCAGCCCAGGAGAAGGUGAAGCUGAGGAGCAGAUGAAGUUGACUGAAUGCCACACUGCCUGCCCCUCCUCAGGACCCCAUGGAGGCUUGCAGGACGAUGUGCCUUUCCAGCUCGCCUAACUACACACCACCUGUAGCACCAUCCUCCACGGCAGAGGGAACUAGAAGCAACCCAGUGGCCCACAUAAGUCAAAGCAAAGAGCAGCAGCCCGGGCUCGGACUGCAAAGCUCAUGGCUCCUUCACAGAGAGGGAGUGAAGUCCCAAGUGGAAGCUGGCAGAGGCUGUAUUGAACUGCCCAGUCUGUCUGAGGAAGAUCCUGGCACAAGUCCAGAACCCAGGAGCUAAGGCCAGGCAGGUCCUACUCACCAGAGGAUGCUGAGACAUCUGAGGAUGCCCAGAGCUCUCCCCUCGAAGUCAGGACUGGUCUAGCAGCCCUGUGGGAUGGGCUUAGGGGCAAUUGUGGCUCCAUUUCACAGACUGAGAUCCUGAAGUCCAGAGGCAUGGAUGUACCACAUGCAGUCAUUGGUACAUGCAUCCCUGGGGACAUACACCCCUGGGGACACGCACCUCUGUUUUUGUUAGAGUUAGUUCUGGUCAAGAGUCUAGAAUGUCUGGCCUAGGUGGAGACCUAACAUUCCAGUUGGGCCAUGUCAUUUUUCAGCCAAGAGAACGGUCCUGUGGUGGUGGGUUCACUUUAAGCCGUGCUAAAGAGAUGAGCAGAAUAACUAGCCUUUAGUGAGAUACACCCUACUUUUCCUUGCAGAAUCCCAGCCUUCUAGUGUAGUAGCUUAGGGCUACAGCCACAUAACAUGUCUAAGUCUGCCCUGCCCAUUUUCCUGAAUUAUUCAGAAAAAGUGUAACUUCUCCUUCUCUCCUUUCUGCCUCUUUUCUAAGCAUUAUUUCUUUUCAGACCUUCCCUCCAACACUUAGGACUCUCCUACACAUUCCCUAAAGCCUCACCUCCCACCCAGAUCUGCCUGUCUGCCAUGCAUCUGCCCUCCAUGCCAGCCUAGUGGCAUGGCCUUUGUCCUCUCCUCCACUCUUGUCCUCUGGGCAGCUGUGAGGUUUACCGCUUGCCUGCCUCAGGGGUUUUGUUUUAAACUCUAAUAAAAUGGUCCUUGAGCUUC